Molecule: small nucleolar RNA, 80 nt
Organism: Myotis lucifugus (little brown bat)
Lineage: Eukaryota; Metazoa; Chordata; Mammalia; Chiroptera; Vespertilionidae
Product: small nucleolar RNA U2-19
Source: Ensembl
GGUCAGUGAUGAAAAUAGCCAAAUCUGCACAUCAGAAGACCGACCAGUCCACCUGAAACAUGAUCUCGCUAGUUCUGAGA